RNAcentral lists this long non-coding RNA (217 nucleotides) under Manihot esculenta (cassava). RNAcentral's name for it is "long non-coding RNA (MESC_LNC005515)". The record is from RNAcentral. Lineage: Eukaryota; Viridiplantae; Streptophyta; Magnoliopsida; Malpighiales; Euphorbiaceae.
UCCCCUACAUAGUCCAACUGUGCCAGGGGCGUAGAAUGGGCCUCACUGGUCUUUCUCUUACAUAACAUAACAUAACAUAACAUAAUCCAACUGUGCCAGGGGCGUAGAAUGGGCCUCACUGGUCUUCUGUACCGUAUCAUCAAAAUCAUAGCAUAGGAGGACUAAAGGAUCAUUCAACAUUCAUCCACAUCAUCAAACAUAUUAUACAAUGCAACAU